RNAcentral lists this non-coding RNA (29 nucleotides) under Mus musculus (house mouse). The record is from RNAcentral. Lineage: Eukaryota; Metazoa; Chordata; Mammalia; Rodentia; Muridae.
GAUGUAAACGAAUGGAAUGAUUAAUAAUA